UACGAAGGGGGCUAGCGUUGCUCGGAAUCACUGGGCGUAAAGGGUGCGUAGGCGGGUCUUUAAGUCAGAGGUGAAAUCCUGGAGCUCAACUCCAGAACUGCCUUUGAUACUGAAGAUCUUGAGUUCGGGAGAGGUGAGUGGAACUGCGAGUGUAGAGGUGAAAUUCGUAGAUAUUCGCAAGAACACCAGUGGCGAAGGCGGCUCACUGGCCCGGUACUGACGCUGAGGUGCGAAAGCGUGGGGAGCAAACAGG
This 253-nucleotide ribosomal RNA is filed under the name uncultured bacterium. RNAcentral describes it as "partial 16S ribosomal RNA". It matches the Rfam family "Bacterial small subunit ribosomal RNA", at positions 524 to 776 of the family's 1533-position model. The record is from RNAcentral.